This 372-nucleotide ribosomal RNA is filed under the name uncultured organism. Its description in RNAcentral is "partial 16S ribosomal RNA". It matches the Rfam family "Bacterial small subunit ribosomal RNA", at positions 527 to 896 of the family's 1533-position model. The record is from RNAcentral.
GUAGGUGGCAAGCGUUGUCCGGAAUUAUUGGGCGUAAAGCGCGCGCAGGCGGUCCUUUAAGUCUGAUGUGAAAGCCCACGGCUCAACCGCGGAGGGUCAUUGGAAACUGGGGGACUUGAGUACAGAAGAGGAAAGCGGAAUUCCAAGUGUAGCGGUGAAAUGCGUAGAGAUUUGGAGGAACACCAGUGGCGAAGGCGGCUUUCUGGUCUGUAACUGACGCUGAGGCGCGAAAGCGUGGGGAGCAAACAGGGAUUAGAUACCCUGGUAGUCCACGCCGUAAACGAUGAGUGCUAAGUGUUAGGGGGUUUCCCGCCCCUUAGUGCUGCAGCUAACGCAUUAAGCACUCCGCCUGGGGAUACGGCCGCAAGGCUG